GGCCCUGUGGUCCUGGCCUGGCCUCCUUUGGGACAGAGAUCCUAUGAUUGAGUCUCCCAAAUGCCCUGCCAAUCUGCUGCUCAAGCUCCUUGCUUGCCCUUCUGUAUUUCCUCUGAAGUAUAUUUUGUUGCCAUUUUCCGGUCAAAUAUUUUAAAACUUAGAUAUUUGGUUUUUAGUGGUUCCUUUGUGAAUUCAGUUCUUCCUCUAAAGGUACUCUCUUUUAUGUUAUGUGGAAUUUGUUGCUGGAUUGCCCUGUCACCACCACCAAAGGCUCAGAUAUUCUUUCUUCUCCAAUUUAACUCCAGUUUGUCAGCUGCUGAGUGGUGUAAAAUUCUUUUGCCGAGGAACAAGACCAUCCCAGUCAACUCCAUCCCACAGCCUGGCCAGUCAGCAGAGCGGACACCAUCUUAGGCCUCUUAUUUUUUCUUUUGCCCAAGUGUCUGAAAGGAGCAUCCUCUUUAAUUUAAGCCUACAUGUGGAGUAAUGACGAAGAAGCAGCAUAACAUUUUUGGAAAGCAAUGUGGAAAAAUAUAUCUCAAGCCAGAAAGAUGUUUGUACCAUUUUAUCCAGUAAUCCCACACUUGGAAUUUAUCCUAGAGAAAUAGAUCAACAGAAGAAAAAGCAGCAGCAGUGUAUGAAGCUCCGUGCUAUGAGACAGUGGAGACAAACUGGAUGCCAAACACAAUGAACAUCCUUGCCUGUGACUCCCGAACAACAUAAACAGCUGUUUCUUGAAGACAGACAAGGAAGAGUAAAAUGGUUGGGAGAGAGAGAGUCUAUACAUUAAUGUCCAGCACCGAGUGAGCCCUUGUGAAGUGUGGACCUUGGAGAGCAUGUCAAGCAGUCUCAUUCAUUUUAACAAAUGCACCGUACUGGUGGGGGAUGAGGAGAAAGGACCAGGUGGGGGCACAAGGAAGAAUGCUGCAACCUGUUUCCUGAGAUGAAGUAUGGCUCUUAGAGACGGGCAUUUGGUGCACAGACUUCGGCCGGAAUACCUUUGCUCCUCCACACGGCUAUGCACACAUCAUUGAAGCCGGCGCAGUCGCCCACCCCUGAGCUCAUCUUCCAGAGUUCAAUCUGCGUACUUUGGACUGGGCCUGUGUACCGACUGGAAGACAAAUGGAGGAAGUGCAAUUUUUCUAUAAUCACUCUAAUUCCUUCUUUGAUGUUCUUUUACAAUUUUCUCCCACGUGCAACAAGACACAUGAUAACAUCUGAACCACAUUCUACUCUAACAACACUAGGAAGCCAUAGCACUGCUAAGGGAGAAAGGUUUAUAUAAUAAUUCCCUUCCAUAACAAGGGGAAAUCAAGGUAGAAAAGGUUGUUGUUGAGCCAACAGUGGUUUUUUGGGGGAAUUUUCUGUGUUUAUCUGGGUGAUGCUAUUUAGUCUUGACCCUUCUUGGCAACAUUGCUAUGUCUCUAGCUGUCACAUGCUUAGGGGAGAUUAUGUGUGCCCCAGAAUUCUUACUUUGAAAACCUAACCCCUAAGACUAUUGUAUUGAGGAAGUGAGCCAUUGAGAGGUGACUAGGCUAUGAAGGCAGAGCUUUUAAUGGGAUUCGUAAAAGAGAUCCCAAUGGGCUUUCCUUCCUACCCUGUGGGAGCACAUGAGAGGCCUCUGUCUAUGAACAAGGGAGCCGGGCCUCAUCAGACCAAAUCGUCUGCCACCUUGGUCUUGGGCUUCUCAGUCUCCAAGACUGUGGGAAAUAAAUUUCUGUUGUUUAUAAGCCACCUGAUUUGUGACAUUUUGUUAUAGCAACCCCAAUAGACUAAGAUAGUUCCUAGUGACAACAGGAAGUCUAUCUUGGAGGGAAAACAAAAGCCCAAGUGAUGAUGGUGGGAUUUCUGGGUUGCAGGAUGGCAGAAACCUUAUGCCUUGUUCUAACUUCUUGACCCUGCCCUCAGAACAUGAAUUGUUGGAGUACACAAAAUCCUUAAGGGCUGG
Heterocephalus glaber (naked mole-rat) is the source of this 1945-nucleotide long non-coding RNA. Lineage: Eukaryota; Metazoa; Chordata; Mammalia; Rodentia; Bathyergidae. The record is from Ensembl.